Molecule: long non-coding RNA, 256 nt
Filed under: Olea europaea subsp. europaea
Lineage: Eukaryota; Viridiplantae; Streptophyta; Magnoliopsida; Lamiales; Oleaceae
Source: RNAcentral
AGUUAAAAUUGUAAACAGGGAAUCUUACCGAUUGAGUUGAAAAGAGACGGCAGAGGGAGUCGCCGGCGGUAGAUUUCUUCGACGGAAUGCGGAGGCCACGCGAUACGCACCGCCACAUCUCUAUUUACUUCUGUAUAAUGUAAGCGAUGGUUUAUAUCAGAUUGUGAUUGUGAAUGUAAAUGCGUGUAUCUGAGUUUCGUUUUUAUGGGAAACGAUGAAGGGAAAAUGGACAUUGGAAUGGGAAAGGGACUAAUAU